This is a long non-coding RNA of Octopus sinensis (East Asian common octopus), 129 nucleotides long. RefSeq lists it as uncharacterized. The transcript is spliced from 3 exons. NCBI's taxonomy places the organism in Eukaryota, Metazoa, Mollusca, Cephalopoda, Octopoda, Octopodidae. The record is from RefSeq and is a predicted model, not a curated record.
CAUCAGCGAAGUGGAGAUGGGAGGCCGGUAUACAUGGGCAACUCCUAGUCUUCUAUAAACAACCUUGCCCGGGCUUGUGCCUGGGAGGGUAACUUUCUAGGUGCAAUCCCACGGUCAUUCGUGACCGAA